RNAcentral lists this ribosomal RNA (359 nucleotides) under Polydora lingshuiensis. Its description in RNAcentral is "partial 16S ribosomal RNA". It matches the Rfam family "Bacterial large subunit ribosomal RNA", at positions 1933 to 2542 of the family's 2925-position model. The record is from RNAcentral. Lineage: Eukaryota; Metazoa; Annelida; Polychaeta; Spionida; Spionidae.
GCGGUAUCCUGACCGUACUAAGGUAGCAUAAUCACUUGCCGUUUAAUUGAUGGCUGGAAUGAAUGAAUAUACGAGAGCUCAACUGUCUCAUUUUUACCAAUAUAAAUUGACCCUCAAGUGAAGAGACUUGAAUUUUAAAAAAAGACGAAAAGACCCUAUAGAGCUUUACCUGAACUCUAUAUAUUUUAGAACUAAGGUUUAGUUGGGGCAACUAGAGAGUAUCUAAAACCUCUCUUCUAGUAAAUUGAUAAGAUCCGCUUUUGCGAUAAGAAGAAAAAGCUACCUUAGGGAUAACAGGCUAAUCCUCUUUAAGAGACCAUAUUGACAAGAGGGAUUGGCACCUCGAUGUUGGCUUAGGA